Daphnia magna is the source of this 1129-nucleotide long non-coding RNA. RefSeq lists it as uncharacterized. The record is from RefSeq and is a predicted model, not a curated record. The transcript has 4 exons. NCBI's taxonomy places the organism in Eukaryota, Metazoa, Arthropoda, Branchiopoda, Diplostraca, Daphniidae.
UCAUUUUGCGUCAUCAUGUGUGGUCACCAGUUUACGAUAUCUUAAAACAUGUAAGUGGUAAUACUUUAUGUAUAUUUCAAUCUGCUGACUGUAGUCUUUUCUUCUUGUUAUUGUUACAGUGAAUUUCCUAAUGAUUUUGUUGCCAGCUAGCAACUGUACAGUUGCUUGACAUCCAGAGAUAAGGAGAUGGCUCACUCCACGUAAAGCCCAGCAGUCGACAUUUUCCCUCCUCCCCCUCUCUAGCAGACGAAUUCGACUGCGCUGCUCCUUUCGGCCAGCUCCGGAAUCGUGGCUGUACUUGGCGGUAAGGACGGUAUGGUUUAAAACGUGAAGGGGGAGCGCCACUGGGAAAUCCUUACCGCCAAGUACAGCCAUGAUUCCGGAGCUGGCCGAAAGGAGCAGCGCAGUCGAAUUCGUCUGCUAGAGAGGGGGAGGAGGGAAAAUGUCGACUGCUGGGCUUUACGUGGAGUGAGCCAUCUCCUUAUCUCUGUUGACAUCAUUUGCAUCAUUAUUGUUGGUCACCAGUCUACGAUAACUGAAAACAUGAUUUUGUUGCCAGUGAGCAACUAUACAGUUGCUUGACAUCAUUUGCAUAAUUAUUGUUGGUCAGUAGACUACAAUACCUUAACACAUUUUAUUUCUCAAGGAUUAUGCCAUUACUUAACUGUUACUACAGUUGCUUGACUCAUUUGCAUUAUUAUUGAUGGUCACGAUACUGUGAUAACUGAACACAUAUUAACCAAAAUAGUAAUUGUGAAGACGUGGACGAUGGCAAGGAUUACACUGUCCUUGUCUUGGAAAAAAGGAUUCGACGGAAAUACUGUGAUAACGGUUGAUAUGGACUCGGUCAUCUCGAAUAAAACGCCGUCUUCUGAAAUGUACAAUUCGCAACAAUUCGUAGAGAUUGCAAGAGCGACGACGAUGAUACGCUGAAUAGAUGUCAUCGUGGUAGAUAAAUAUAUUGGUGAGAUUCUGUCGAAAGUACAAUAGUAUAAAUGAAAACAAAAUUGGGACGCUCCUGUAAUAGGCAUGCUUAAAAAGUUCUAGCAACAUACUACACAUUAUGAUUGAAACACGGAUAUGUACACGUCCUACAUACGGAUCGAUGAAAGCAGUAUCCAAUGGCAUU